RNAcentral lists this transfer RNA (73 nucleotides) under Bos taurus (domestic cattle). It matches the Rfam family "tRNA". Rfam says of the family: Transfer RNA (tRNA) molecules are approximately 80 nucleotides in length. Their secondary structure includes four short double-helical elements and three loops (D, anti-codon, and T loops). The record is from Rfam by way of RNAcentral. RNAcentral also lists the same sequence under 1 other name. Lineage: Eukaryota; Metazoa; Chordata; Mammalia; Artiodactyla; Bovidae.
UCUCCGGUGGCCCAGUGCUUAAGACUCUGCGCUCCCAAUGCAGGGAGCCCAGGUUCAACCCCUGGUCAGGGAA